UACAGAUGCGCCCCCACCCCGUGUGUAGCAACGGCACCUGUGAGAAAAGCCCACGAGCUGGGAAGGACCGGGACACACUCAAGUUCUAAGUGAAGUGUGUCAGUGACCUUGUGCCCAAGGACCCCCCCAUCUGCUCACCUCCCAACCUCUUUAGAUUUCACUCUGCUGGCUCAGACAUCCAAGCGGCAGGCGAGCGCCUUGUCAGCACAUUUCCGUGCUUCCCGACACGGGGAAGAAGAACCGGCAGGAACAAGCUUUCCACCGUUUUCUCCUCAAGCAGUUCCUCGCCCUAAGAAGAUGUCGAGCCGGGCUCCAUGAUGGCACACGACCACGAGCUGAAGUGAUCUGGCGUGUUAAUUAACGAAGCAGAGUGGGAACCAAGCAACUCCCCUCAGAGGGAGUUAAAGUGUGAGUAAGGAUGUGACACGCUCCCUCACAAUCCAAAAUGCGCCACCGAGAGACAACCC
Molecule: long non-coding RNA, 467 nt
Organism: Perognathus longimembris pacificus (Pacific pocket mouse)
Lineage: Eukaryota; Metazoa; Chordata; Mammalia; Rodentia; Heteromyidae
Exons: 3
Source: RefSeq, a predicted model, not a curated record